RNAcentral lists this ribosomal RNA (257 nucleotides) under uncultured prokaryote. Its description in RNAcentral is "partial 16S ribosomal RNA". It matches the Rfam family "Bacterial small subunit ribosomal RNA", at positions 524 to 780 of the family's 1533-position model. The record is from RNAcentral.
UACGGAGGAUCCGAGCGUUAUCCGGAUUUAUUGGGUUUAAAGGGUGCGCAGGCGGGGGAAUAAGUCAGUGGUGAAAAGCUGCCGCUCAACGGUAGUCUUGCCAAUGAUACUGUUUUUCUUGAGUAUGGUUAAGGUAGGUGGAAUGUGCAGUGUAGCGGUGAAAUGCAUAGAGAUUGCACAGAAGGCCGAUUGCGAAGGCAGCUUACUGAACCAUAACUGACGCUCAUGCACGAAAGCGUGGGGAUCAAACAGGAUUA